UUGCUUGCUUUGGCAACACAUAUACUAAAACUGGAAUACAGAGAAGAUUAGCAUGGCCCCUGCGCAGGAUGACAUGCAGAUUUGUGAUGCAUUCCACUUUUUU
Molecule: small nuclear RNA, 103 nt
Filed under: Macaca fascicularis (crab-eating macaque)
Lineage: Eukaryota; Metazoa; Chordata; Mammalia; Primates; Cercopithecidae
Also listed under: 2 other names
Source: RNAcentral